UAUAGGUGUAACACCACUAAUUCAGGCCCGGCCAGAAAGCACAUACCAGAAAGUAGUACAUAUUUAACACAAAAUAGUUCCUACGCAUGGACAUAACUUUCAAAAUAUUUAGAAUAUUUUAUUAAUUUUGGUAUCAAAUGAAAGCUGCAUGACUGGUGAUCAUUGCAGAACAAUUUUUGACUGAUAAAUUUGAAUAAUAAAAAAAUGGCAUGAAAUUUAAAAAGGAGGGUACAUUUUGCCUUUUUGUCAGAUCGGAAGUACCUGUUUUGGUACAUCCGAAGUUCCGGGAACCAGUUCUUUCUUAUAUGCCAUGUAAGGUAUGUUGAUUUUUUCAGUACAGGACACCAGAAGCGGUUGCUUUGACAUGCAAUGAUUGUCACUUUAUUUGAACUUAAGAUAAAAGAGCUGUGACCACUCGAAAUUGAGGAAUUUAACAUAGAAAGCAAUGGGGCCAUUAAUUAGUGGUGUACUUCCUAUUACAGAGAAUCACCAGAAAUCCAAUUUUUAGAAGUUGUACCUAUUCCAAUGAAAAUAAGUCCAAUUUGAUGUUAGUAAUCAUGUUUAAUCAUCUUUUUUUGGUCAACCGUCCUGCUUAUGGGAAAUUUAAGCUCUUAAAUUGGCAUACUCAAGUAUGUUAGCCUUUUAUGGUCAUACAGCAUGCAUGCAGUUAAGACUUGACUCCAAGUUCUUAUUUUUGCAUUUUUUCUGAUUGAAAUCAAUAAAACAAGUAUUUUAUGACUUGUAUAUGGAACAAAAUAGCUCUUGGUCAAAAUAAUCUUAUGAUUUU
RNAcentral lists this long non-coding RNA (787 nucleotides) under Mytilus galloprovincialis (Mediterranean mussel). The record is from RNAcentral. Lineage: Eukaryota; Metazoa; Mollusca; Bivalvia; Mytilida; Mytilidae.